Molecule: ribosomal RNA, 726 nt
Filed under: uncultured Bacillus sp.
Lineage: Bacteria; Bacillati; Bacillota; Bacilli; Caryophanales; Bacillaceae
Description: bacterial SSU rRNA
Rfam family: Bacterial small subunit ribosomal RNA
Source: RNAcentral
GAUAGUUCCUUGAACCGCCUGGUUCCAGGAUGAAAGACGGUUUCGGCUGUCACUUACAGAUGGACCCGCGGCGCAUUAGCUAGUUGGUGGGGUAAUGGCUCACCAAGGCGACGAUGCGUAGCCGACCUGAGAGGGUGAUCGGCCACACUGGGACUGAGGCCCGGCCCAGACUCCUACGGGAGGCAGCAGUAGGGAAUCUUUCGCAAUGGACGAAAGUCUGACGGAGCAACGCCGCGUGAGUGAUGAAGGUUUUCGGAUCGUAAAGCUCUGUUGUUAGGGAAGAACAAGUGCGAGAGUAACUGCUCGCCCCUUGACGGUACCUAACCCGAAAGCCCCGGCUAACUACGUGCCAGCAGCCGCGGUAAUACGUAGGUGGCAAGCGUUGUCCGGAAUUAUUGGGCGUAAAGGGCUCGCAGGCGGUUUUUUAAGUUUGAUGUGAAAGCCCCCGGCUCAACCGGGGAGGGUCAUUGGAAACUGGGAAACUUGAGUGCAGAAGAGGAGAGUGGAAUUCCACGUGUAGCGGUGAAAUGCGUAGAGAUGUGGAGGAACCCCAGUGGCGAAGGCGACUCUCUGGUCUGUAACUGACGCUGAGGAGCGAAAGCGUGGGGAGCGAACAGGAUUAGAUACCCUGGUAGUCCACGCCGUAAACGAUGAAUGCUAAGUGUUAGGGGGUUUCCGCCCCUUAGUGCUGCAGCUAACGCAUUAAGCAUUCCGCCUGGAUACGCC